UGCCAGGCACAGGAGAGAGUAGUGGACCAGACAGGCCCUGGCUCUGUUCUCACGGAACUUGUAUUCUAGCAGGGGAGACAGCCAGCCAUUUAACAGCUUGUUCCACAUUUGGGAGCUUAGAAAAUGCUACAGAGGAAAAGUGUAGGAAGGUCUUGGAAUCCUGUUGGCAAUCUUCUACAACUUUUCAAACUGGGGCAGCUUAAUUAGAAUCCUGACUUCACUCCUUUCCAUCAGCAAUUUGCUUAAGUUUUGAAAAACAUCAUUAAAACAAAGGAUGCAGUGAGUAUGCCAGAACAUCGAGCUUAUUUGUUUCUGAGACAAGAUCGUGAGGAGGGAAGUGACUUGCAAAUGAUUAAUAGACUUGGUAUUUGGGCUUUGCAGCCUUGAUUUCCAGCCUUGGAGCUUGCAUUUAAUUUUGAGAAAGACCAGCCUGUUGCUGCAGCUUGCAUUUCUGUAUUGGAUCGACCAGCCCACUAGCCUUUCGUCCUGCCCAGCAGAGCUAGACAGGAGGCAAAAUUAAAAGGAAACAUUUGAAGGGCAACUGGACUAGAACAGAAGACUAACCAUGAAUUAAUUUUUUCCCACUUCAUCUUGAACAAUGACAGGCAGUUGGUCUUUUCAUCCCCCCGUGUUCAGCCUUGGCAAGGAUGUGUGCUGUGCAGGUGGCCGAGGCUCCCCGAGUCAGUGUGAGGGCAGAGCGAGAAAUCUGGGAAGAUCGUGAACUCACUGGUGUUGAGCUUCUGAUUUGGAAACACAUCACUUUCUUUUUCUUUUCUUUUUUUUUUUUUUUUUUUUUGGUGAUAGCUUUAUUUGUUAAGGUAGAAUUCACAUACUCUAUAUUUCACCCAUUCGAAAUGUAUAGCUCAAUAGUUCUGUCUUUUCAUAGAGUUGUGCAACUAUCACCACAAUGAAUUUUAGAACAUUUUUAUUACCCCCCAAAGAAACCCCAUACCCUUUAGUUACCUCUGUCCCCGAUAUACCCUCAUCUACCUAUUUACUUUCUGUCUCUAUUGGUUUGCCUUUUCUGGACACUUCAUAUAAAUGGAAUUUUGUAGUAUGUGGUCCUUUAUGACUGGUUCUUUCACCUAGCAUGAUGUUUUCAAGGUUCGUUCCUUCGUACAGUAGCAUUUAUUAGCACUUCGUUCCUUUUUACGGCUGAGUAAUAUUCCAUUUUGUGGCUAUACCACCUUUUGUUUAUUCAUCCAUCCAUUGAUACGGACGGCUGGGUCGUUUCCACCUUUUGGCUAUUACGAGUAAUGCUUCAAUAACAAUCACGCACGAGGUCUUAUGUGGACACGUGUUUUCAUUUCUCAUGAGUACAUACCCAGGAGUCAAAUGGCUGGAUCAAAUUUUCCUUCUUUUUUAACUCAAACACAAACCUUACACCAGAUUAAACGAAAUGACAGCAUUUUGUAAGUAAUAGAGCACUUAUAAAUUUUAAUUAUAACUGGCUUCUAGAAUAUUUAAUCUCCCAAUUUAUCCCAAUAAUGUUGAAUCGAUUUCUAUUAUGUGCUUUGCUCUACGCUGUGAGCCUCCUAAGAUGAGCCCCCUAAUCUAGGGCUUGUUAUUUAUAAAAGUAACUAACUUAUACUGGAUCUUUGCUUUGUGCCAAGCACGAUUCUCAAUGUUUUAUCUGUAUUAAAUCCUUGACUACCACCACCACUGUAUGAGGUAGGUACUAUGGUUACCCUCAUUUUAUACAGAACUUAAGUAACCUGCCCAAGGCCAUGCGGGUGCCAAGCGGCAAAACCGGGUGGUCUUUAUCAACUUACCAUUCUUCCACGCUCCGUCUCUAGCAACAAUAAUAUGCAAGACUUAAGUGUCAUCUGAAGUUCGACAUCCUAGGUUUGCAUGCUGCCUCCCCCAUUUACAGUGUGACCUUGGGCAAAAGAAUCACACUUUUUAAGCCUCAAAUGCCUAAUCUGUAAAGAGAACCUAAUCCAGUGACCUACUUCAUAGAGUGGCUGUAAGCAUGAAGUGAAAUAAACAUAUACCAGGUGUUUGA
Molecule: long non-coding RNA, 2005 nt
Organism: Felis catus (domestic cat)
Lineage: Eukaryota; Metazoa; Chordata; Mammalia; Carnivora; Felidae
Exons: 2
Source: RefSeq, a predicted model, not a curated record